Molecule: ribosomal RNA, 443 nt
Filed under: uncultured bacterium
Lineage: Bacteria
Description: partial 16S ribosomal RNA
Rfam family: Bacterial small subunit ribosomal RNA
Source: RNAcentral
CCUACGGGAGGCUGCAGUGGGGAAUAUUGGGCAAUGGGCGCAAGCCUGACCCAGCAACGCCGCGUGAAGGAUGACGGCUUUCGGGUUGUAAACUUCCUUUCUGAGGGACGAAGAAAGUGACGGUACCUCAGGAAUAAGCCUCGGCUAACUACGUGCCAGCAGCCGCGGUAAUACGUAGGUGGCAAGCGUUAUCCGGAUUUAUUGGGUGUAAAGGGCGUGUAGGCGGGAAAGCAAGUCAGAUGUGAAAACUCAGGGCUCAACCCUGAGUCUGCAUUUGAAACUGGUUUUCUUGAGUGCUGGAGAGGCAAGCGGAAUUCCGUGUGUAGCGGUGAAAUGCGUAGAUAUACGGAGGAACACCAGUGGCGAAGGCGGAUUGCUGGACAGUAACUGACGCUGAGACGCGAAAGCGUGGGGAGCAAACAGGAUUAGAUACCCCGGUAGUC